CCUACGGGAGGCAGCAGUAGGGAAUAUUGCUCAAUGGGGGAAACCCUGAAGCAGCAACGCAGCGUGGAGGAUGAAGGUUUUCGGAUUUUAAACCCCUUUUGUUAAAGAAGAUAAUGACGGUAUCUAACGAAUAAGCACCGGCUAACUCCGUGCCAGCAGCCGCGGUAAUACGGAGGAAGCAAGCGUUACUCGGAAUCACUGGGCGUAAAGAGCGCGUAGACGGGAUAGCAAGUCAGAUGUGAAAUUGUAUGGCUUAACCAUAGAACUGCAGUUGAAACUGUUAUUCUAGAGUAUAGGAGAGGUAGGUGGAAUUCUUGGUGUAGGGGUAAAAUCCGUAGAGAUCAAGAGGAAUACUCAUUGCGAAGGCGACCUACUAGAACAUAACUGACGCUGAUGCGCGAAAGCGUGGGGAGCAAACAGGAUUAGAUACCCCUGUAGUC
Molecule: ribosomal RNA, 440 nt
Filed under: uncultured bacterium
Lineage: Bacteria
Description: partial 16S ribosomal RNA
Rfam family: Bacterial small subunit ribosomal RNA
Source: RNAcentral